UUCCGGUUGAUCCUGCCGGACCCGACUGCUAUUUGGGUGAGAAUAAGCCAUGCGAGUUGAAUGGGAUACCUAAAGUUCCCAUAGCAAACUGCUCAGUAACACAUGAUCAACUUACCCUAUAGAGAAAAAUAACCUCGGGAAACUGAGGAUAAUGUUUCAUAAUUGAAUUGGCUUGGAAAAGUUUUUCAAUGAAAAGGAUAAAAAAAAUGGUUUUUAUCUGCUAUAGGAUAGGAUCGUGUUCGAUUAUGGUUGUUGGUGAGAUAAUGGCUCACCAAGCCGAUAAUCGAUAGGGGCCGUGAGAGCGGGAGCCCCGAGAUGGGUACUGAGACAACGACCCAGGCCUUACGAGGCGCAGCAGGCGCGGAACCUCCGCAAUACACGAAAGUGUGACGGGGUUACCCAAAGUGUUCAAUUUGAACUGUGGUAGGUGAGUAAUGUCCCCUACUAGAAAGGAGAGGGCAAGGCUGGUGCCAGCCGCCGCGGUAAAACCAGCUCUUCAAGUGGUCGGGAUAAUUAUUGGGCUUAAAGUGUCCGUAGCCGGUUUAGUAAGUUCCUGGUAAAAUCGGGUAGCUUAACUAUCUGCAUGCUAGGAAUACUGCUAUACUAGAGGGCGGGAGAGGUCUGAGGUACUACAGGGGUAGGGGUGAAAUCUUAUAAUCCUUGUAGGACCACCAGUGGCGAAGGCGUCAGACUGGAACGCGCCUGACGGUGAGGGACGAAAGCCAGGGGAGCGAACCGGAUUAGAUACCCGGGUAGUCCUGGCCGUAAACGAUGCAUACUAGGUGAUGGUACGGCCAUGAGCCGUAUCAGUGCCGUAGGGAAACCGUUAAGUGUGCCGCCUGGGAGGUACGGUCGCAAGGCUAAAACUUAAAGGAAUUGGCGGGGGAGCACCACAAGGGGUGAAGCCUGCGGUUCAAUUGGAUUCAACGCCGGA
This 934-nucleotide ribosomal RNA is filed under the name uncultured archaeon. RNAcentral describes it as "partial 16S ribosomal RNA". It matches the Rfam family "Archaeal small subunit ribosomal RNA", at positions 1 to 922 of the family's 1478-position model. The record is from RNAcentral.